AGUGAACGCUGGCGGUAGGCCUAACACAUGCAAGUCGAACGGCAGCACAGUAAGAGCUUGCUCUUACGGGUGGCGAGUGGCGGACGGGUGAGGAAUACAUCUGAAUCUACUUUUUCGUGGGGGAUAACGUAGGGAAACUUACGCUAAUACCGCAUACGACCUACGGGUGAAAGCAGGGGAUCUUCGGACCUUGCGCGAUUGAAUGAGCCGAUGUCGGAUUAGCUAGUUGGCGGGGUAAAGGCCCACCAAGGCGACGAUCCGUAGCUGGUCUGAGAGGAUGAUCAGCCACACUGUAACUGAGACACGGUCCAGACUCCUACGGGAGGCAGCAGUGGGGAAUAUUGGACAAUGGGCGCAAGCCUGAUCCAGCCAUACCGCGUGGGUGAAGAAGGCCUUCGGGUUGUAAAGCCCUUUUGUUGGGAAAGAAAAGCAGCAGGUUAAUACCCCGCUGUUCUGACGGUACCCAAAGAAUAAGCACCGGCUAACUUCGUG
Molecule: ribosomal RNA, 492 nt
Filed under: uncultured bacterium
Lineage: Bacteria
Description: partial 16S ribosomal RNA
Rfam family: Bacterial small subunit ribosomal RNA
Source: RNAcentral